This 730-nucleotide ribosomal RNA is filed under the name uncultured bacterium. RNAcentral's name for it is "bacterial SSU rRNA". It matches the Rfam family "Bacterial small subunit ribosomal RNA", at positions 771 to 1501 of the family's 1533-position model. The record is from RNAcentral.
AACAGGAUUAGAUACCCUGGUAGUCCACGCUGUAAACGAUGUCGAUUUGGAGGUUGUGCCCUUGAGGCGUGGCUUCCGGAGCUAACGCGUUAAAUCGACCGCCUGGGGAGUACGGCCGCAAGGUUAAAACUCAAAUGAAUUGACGGGGGCCCGCACAAGCGGUGGAGCAUGUGGUUUAAUUCGAUGCAACGCGAAGAACCUUACCUACUCUUGACAUCCAGAGAACUUUCCAGAGAUGGAUUGGUGCCUUCGGGAACUCUGAGACAGGUGCUGCAUGGCUGUCGUCAGCUCGUGUUGUGAAAUGUUGGGUUAAGUCCCGCAACGAGCGCAACCCUUAUCCUUCGUUGCCAGCGGUUCGGCCGGGAACUCGAAGGAGACUGCCAGUGAUAAACUGGAGGAAGGUGGGGAUGACGUCAAGUCAUCAUGGCCCUUACGAGUAGGGCUACACACGUGCUACAAUGGCGUAUACAAAGAGAAGCGACCUCGCGAGAGCAAGCGGACCUCAUAAAGUACGUCGUAGUCCGGAUUGGAGUCUGCAACUCGACUCCAUGAAGUCGGAAUCGCUAGUAAUCGUAGAUCAGAAUGCUACGGUGAAUACGUUCCCGGGCCUUGUACACACCGCCCGUCACACCAUGGGAGUGGGUUGCAAAAGAAGUAGGUAGCUUAACCUUCGGGAGGGCGCUUACCACUUUGUGAUUCAUGACUGGGGUGAAGUCGUAACAAGGUAACC